UUUGAAAAAAAACGUUUACUUUGAAUUUGAAUUUGCAGUUGUAAAGAGUUCUUGAGAAGUUUUGCUAUACAUUGUGUUCAUUGUCAAAAUGUUUAUGAAAAAGUAUAGUUUCCAAUCAACUGUGAUUAAUUUUAAUGAUGAGGAAGAUGAAAGUGACUGGCAAUCAGUUAUGGCGAAAUGCCUUGGCGCCCGACACUUGGCUAUGUUGCCUCAAAUUCCCGACAUCACCAUGUCAGACGCUGGAGAGCCUUCUGGCAUUUUUUCUUCCAUGGAGGACCCAGAAAUUGGACGUGAUAUGGGAAGCAUUUGUCACCCCGCCAACUCGCCAAUUUUACCAAAAACAAUAAUCGAAAGGGUACCUAAUUCUCCAGUUUCUUCUCCCUUUCCUUCACCCUACCCAUCACCUUUCCCUUCGCCAUCCCCAGCUUCCACAGAGAGCUCACCCCAGAAAUCAUCAACGGGUUCACCACAAGUUUCACCUCAACCAUCACCAAGACUUUCGUCUCGAAAGUCACUUAGAGACUCGAUUCAACCCUCAUUCACAGCCUCGCCUCAACCAUCACCACGACUUUCGUCUCGAAAGUCACUUAGAGACUCGAUUCAACCCUCAUUCACAGCUUCGCCUCAACCAACACCAAAACUUUCGUCUCGAAAGUCACUUAGAGACUCGAUUCAACCCUCAUUCACAGCCUCGCCUCAAACAUCACCAAAACUUUCGUCUCGAAAGUCACUUAGAGACUCGAUUCAACCCUCAUUCACAGCCUCGCCUCAAACAUCACCACGACUUUCGAGACGAAAGUCACUUAGAGACUCGAUUCAACCCUCAUUCACAGCCUCGCCUCAACCAUCACCACGACUUUCGUCUCGAAAGUCACUUAGAGACUCGAUUCAACCCUCACCACGAGCCUCGCCUCAACCAUCACCACGAGCUUCGCCUCAACCUUCACCACAAGCUUCGCCUGAGCCAUCACCUCGACGAAAUCUCUCUACAAAAUCUAAUGCUGGUGUGCGACCCAAACGAUUUUUGAAAGGUAAAAGAGUUGAAAGAUGGAGAGGACAGCAUCCUAUUUAUAAACCUCUGGAAAAUGGUUGUUUUGAAGUUUUAGGACUAACUCAUGCGAAGACUCCUGAUGUAAAGAAAAGAAAACUCACAAGAGUUAAAAAAGAGAUGAAGGUAGCCACAAAGGAAAACCGCUGUAACUUAUCCGAAUCUUUUGUGGGUAAAAGUGUUUCAACUCGAUCUAAAAAUGCAGAUCUGAUCAAAUCAUUUGAAAAUCUUCAAUGGAAGAAAAGUAAAGGCAGUGAUUCAAUCGAACUUGCGUCACUUUUCCGAGACAAAACUAAUGGACUCGCUAGUGGUUUUUUCAGAAUGAAUGGUGUUUGUGAAAAACCAUCACAGAAAACAGCUAAUUAUAAAACUAUAUAUACAUUACUGAAAGGAUCGGUAGCCUUUAAAAUUGCUGAUGAGCCCUACAUGGUCUUAAACGAAUUUGAAUCAGUCACUAUCCCUGAGCUAACCGGCUAUGCUAUCAAAAACCUAUCAGAUGAUGAAUCUGUAUUAUAUUUCAAUGUAUACCAACAUUAAUUUCUUGACUAAAGUUGAAUUACCCAGUUAUUCACAUUCAACUUGAAUAUUUCAAAUCAGCUAUAAUUUUUGUUUUAAUCUAAUAACUGGAGAUUUGUUGUGAUCAUGAAAACCAUGAAAUGUCCUUUUCUGAAUCAAUUAUCUUCCUCUUUUCUUUCUUCCUACUCAUCAUUAUUGAUGAAAAACUAUGCUCCUCUGUGCUCGAUUAUGUCCAAAGUAUCGAGAUAUUAUUCAACAAACAAUAAAGGAAUCCCUGACCCAAAAAAAGAUAAUGAAGGAAUUAAACAUGCUAAAAGACUGGCUGAAGGUGAUCCAUCAAAAUGUCCUUUUUUGAAAACAGUCAAUCCUAUGGUAUAACAACAUAUAUUGGUCCAGGUCUGAAGGCUCCAUAGUCUGACUGAAAUUAGAAAACGAAGUCAAGUUAAUAAUAGAAAUACCAAUCAAUAACAUUAGAAAGACUUACUUGUUGAAUCUUCUGAACAAGAUAAUAAAAGAUUUCUAUCUGGACUAAAAGAUAAAGAGUAUACAGGACCACUAUGACCAUGUAGAACUUUGAGAUCAGUUGCAGAUUUUUCGUUCAUCAUGCGAAUUAAAACAUCAUCAGCUUCCCUAUCGAUAAGUUCCAGCUCUUGAGCUGAUUUCAUAGUUUUCAGCUUAUUAGGAGUUAAUGACCAUACUUGAAUUGUUGAAUCCGAAAGACCCCGCGCAAACAACACUCUUUCAAAAAACCACCUGCAGAUGGCAGACCUUGUGAUGGAGGGAAUCAGAUGUUAUUUUGAAAAGUCGUUUACUUUGAAUUUGAAUUUGCAGCAUCAAAGUGUUUCAUUUUUCAUUGUUUUUUUUUAAAAUGUUUUUAAAUAAGUAUAGUUUUCAAUCAACUUUCAUCAAUUUUAAUGAUGAUGAAGAUGAAAGUGACUGGCAAUCAGUUAUGCAGAAAUGCCUUGGGGCCCGACACUUAGCCAUGCUGCCAAAAAUACCAGACAUCACCAUGUCAGACGCUGGAGAGCCUUCGGGCAUUUUUUCUUCCAUGGAGGACCCAGAAAUUGGACGUGACAUGCCGAAUUUUUCUCCACCCGUUCAUUCACCAGUGAUUUUGAAAACAAUUAUAGAGAGGUUGCCAACAUCACCACCACCACCACCAAGACCCUCUCAAUCACCACCACCACCACCAACACCCUCUCAAUCACCAUCACCACCACCACCAAGACCCUCUCAAUCACCAUCACCACCACCGCCAACACCCUCUCAAUCACCACCACCACCAACACCCUCACCUCAACCACUACCUCGUGGUGAUGAGCGACCCAAACGAUUUUUGAAAGGUGUAAGAAUUGCACGAUGGAGAGGACAGCAUCCUAUUUAUAAACCUCUGGAAAAUGGAUGUUUUGAAGUUUCAGGAGUAACUCACACGACGACUCCUGAUAUAAAGGAAAGAAAACUCACGAAAGGUAAAAAAGAGAGGCAGGUGACCAAAAAGGAAAAACGCGGUAAAUUAUCCGAAUCUUUUAUUGGUAAAAGUGUUUCAACUCGAAUUAAAAAUGCAGAUUUGUUAAAAUCAUUUGAAAAUCUUCAAUGGAAGAAAAGUAAAGGCAGUGAUUGCAUCGAACUUGCGUCACUUUUCCGAGACAAAACUAAUGGACUCGCUAGUGGUUUUUUCAGAAUGAAAGGUGUUUGUGAAAAACCAAACCAGAAAACAGCUAAUUAUAAAACUAUAUAUACAUUACUGAAAGGAUCGGUAGCCUUUAGAAUUGCUGAUGAGCCCUACAUGGUCUUGAACGAAUUUGAAUCAGUCACUAUCCCUGAGCUAACCGGCUAUGCUAUCAAAAACCUAUCAGAUGAUGAAUCUGUAUUAUAUUUCAAUGUAUACCAACAUUAAUUUCUUUAUUAUCAGUACCCAAUAAAUUCUUUUAAACACAA
Molecule: non-coding RNA, 3502 nt
Organism: Tetranychus urticae (two-spotted spider mite)
Lineage: Eukaryota; Metazoa; Arthropoda; Arachnida; Trombidiformes; Tetranychidae
Source: RefSeq, a predicted model, not a curated record